RNAcentral lists this ribosomal RNA (440 nucleotides) under uncultured bacterium. Its description in RNAcentral is "partial 16S ribosomal RNA". It matches the Rfam family "Bacterial small subunit ribosomal RNA", at positions 338 to 795 of the family's 1533-position model. The record is from RNAcentral.
CCUACGGGAGGCAGCAGUAGGGAAUAUUGCUCAAUGGGGGAAACCCUGAAGCAGCAACGCCGCGUGGGGGAUGAAGGUUUUCUGAUUGUAAACUCCUUUUGUUAGAGAAGAUAAUGACGGUAUCUAACGGAUAAGCCCCGGCUCACUCCGUUCCAGCCGCCGCGGUAAUACGGAGGGUGCAAGCGUUACUCGGAAACACUGGGCGUAAAGAGCGCGGAGGCGGGAUAGCAAGUCAGAUGUGAAAUCCUAUGGCUUAACCAUAGAACUGCAUUUGAAACUGUUAUUCUAGAGUAUGGGAGAGGUAGGUGGAAUUCUUGGUGUAGGGGUAAAAUCCGUAGAGAUCAAGAGGAACACGCAUGGCGAAGGCGACCUGCUAGAAUAUAACUGACGCUGAUGCGCGAAAGCGUGGGGAGCAAACAGGAUUAGAUACCCCAGUAGUC